AGCUUUUUUGAAUUUUUAAAAAGUAAUUUCUGCCCGGGGUAUAUAUUAACGGCCGCGGUAUUUUGACCGUGCGAAGGUAGCAUAAUCAUUUGUCUUAUAAUUGAAGACUGGAAUGAAAGAAUUUACGAAGGAGAAUCUGUCUUUAUUAAGUUAUUAAAAUUUAUUGUUAAAGUGAAGAAACUUUUAAGAAAAAAUUAGACAAGAAGACCCUAUUGAGCUUUACUUUUUUUAUUUAUAAAAUAUAUUUAAAUUUUAUUUUUAUAUUUAAAAUUAGUUUGAUUGGGGCGAUUGAGGAAAUAUUUUAUAAACUUCCUUUUUUUUUUUAACUUAUUAGUGUUUGAUCCAUUAUUUAUGAUUAAAAGAAAAAGUUACCAUAGGGAUAACAGCGUAAUCUUUUUUUAGAGUUCUUAUCAAAAAAAAGGUUUGCGACCUCGAUGUUGGACUAAAAUAUCCCAAAGGUGCAGGUGCUUUUGAUGGKGGGUCUGUUCAACCUUUAAAAUCUU
This 503-nucleotide ribosomal RNA is filed under the name Cephalothrix hongkongiensis. RNAcentral describes it as "partial 16S ribosomal RNA". It matches the Rfam family "Bacterial large subunit ribosomal RNA", at positions 1817 to 2597 of the family's 2925-position model. The record is from RNAcentral. Lineage: Eukaryota; Metazoa; Nemertea; Palaeonemertea; Archinemertea; Cephalotrichidae.